Stylophora pistillata is the source of this 932-nucleotide long non-coding RNA. NCBI's taxonomy places the organism in Eukaryota, Metazoa, Cnidaria, Anthozoa, Scleractinia, Pocilloporidae. The record is from RefSeq and is a predicted model, not a curated record.
UAAAAUGGAUAAAUAUUUUUAAAUUCUCUUUUUUUUUAUAGAGGAGUGAUCGGGCCCAGUCUUGCUGGAACGUUAGAUGAUCAUUUUGGAUUUGAGCAGUCCACGACUAUAAUAGCUUUCAUCAUGCUUUUUCAAGCCCUGCUGAUUUUUUCAUUCACGUUGCAUGAAAAGAUCUCUUUAAGGGGAAAUUCUGACCCAUCAGAAAGGGAACCUCUCACUAUUAACAACAGGAAGGAGUAGGGCAAUAAUUGAAUGAAAUGUGAUGAUGAUGACACCUUUAUUCAAAAGAAUAAAUAACAAUCUCAACACCAGGGUAGUCCCAUCAGAACGUAAAGCUCUGCUAUCAAUAGGAGCCCUGAUGAAUAGGAUCCUAAAAUAAAUAUAAUGCACAAUACAGAAAUAAAGAUAAAUAAUAGUACUAAUUAAUACUACUAAUUAAUUAAAUGUCGACAAAAAACUCAUAAAUGAACAUUUCAUUUCAUAAAUGAUGAAAUAUUUUAUUCGUAAUUUAAGGUAAUCGCAUACAUAAUUAAUCAAAAGCUAUAAAGAUACCCCAAGUGGCAUUCAGAAUGUAACUUACCAUGCGCACAUAAUGAUUCCUUUUUUCGAUCUCUCAGAGAAAGACAUUCUUCCUAACUUUUUACGGUUUGGGAUGUUAUAUGUUGUACAUCAGUUGCUCAUACACUACACCUAAUCUUUUGAAUCGUGCGAAGGAAAAACAAGGAAAAGGUGCUCGUAUUCCAUGAUUUUUAAAAGUGUAAUUAUCCAUUGGGUAAUUAACAAAUCGACAGUGGUUUAGCGUGGUCUGUACUCUUAUUGUCAACGAUAUUUGUCAUCACAGUGGUCAAAAUGCCUAUGGACUCACGAGGCGCAGCAGUUGUUGAAAAGAGGACAGACCACGCUAAACUACUGUCGAUGUUUUUUUACCACAA